CACGUAGGGCGCAAGCGUUGUCCGGAAUUAUUGGGCGUAAAGAGCUCGUAGGCGGUCUGUUGCGUCCGCUGUGAAAACCCGGGGCUUAACCCUGGGCUGGCAGUGGAUACGGACAGACUAGAGGUAGGUAGGGGAGAAUGGAAUUCCCGGUGUAGCGGUGAAAUGCGCAGAUAUCAGGAGGAACACCGGUGGCGAAGGCGGAUCUCUGGGCCUUACCUGACGCUCAGGUGCGAAAGCUAGGGGAGCGAACAGG
Molecule: ribosomal RNA, 253 nt
Filed under: uncultured bacterium
Lineage: Bacteria
Description: partial 16S ribosomal RNA
Rfam family: Bacterial small subunit ribosomal RNA
Source: RNAcentral